Camelina sativa (false flax) is the source of this 865-nucleotide non-coding RNA. The record is from RefSeq and is a predicted model, not a curated record. Lineage: Eukaryota; Viridiplantae; Streptophyta; Magnoliopsida; Brassicales; Brassicaceae.
GCUAAGCAGUGGAUUUAUCGACGAAAUUAGAAGUUGGGAUCUCAAAACCGGAAAAGAUCUGCUUCGAUUCAAGUCGUGUGCUUCUCCGGCGCACAGCCGAAAACUUGGGUCGACUAAAGAAUCAAUUUUUCUAUCAAGCAACAAUGGGUCAAGUUCUCUUUUGCUCUCACACCAAUCCUCUCCGACAUUCUUGAAGGCUUAGUAGUUGCUUUCAUUUGUUAUCUUUUUUUUUUUUUUUCUUGUUCCACUGUAGGAGCAUGGAUUUUCACUUUGAUUCUGCUAAAAACGAGUUUGAUUUAUCUGCUUGAUAUCGGUAGCCAAUGCUGAUGUGAUCCACUUAGUUGCCUUGUUGCGUCUCUCAUCCCCUGUGUGAUUGCAGAUGAGGGAGGAUAAGAAGUAGAAGAAUGAUGAAGGAGAAGUGAGGGAAGGAGUAGCGCAUCAAUAGCUUUGUUGCCACGCGGGUAUAUCUCUUGUCAUUUCUUUCAAAUGUCUAGCUCCAUCUGUUUUGGUCUCCAUGGAGAUCAGGUGUCAGCUAUUUUGGUUGAGUCUUGUGGCUUAAAGAACUCAAGGCUCAACUCGGCUCUCCUCAGUGUCACCAAAGUCACCGAAGACUGGAUUUGGAGAAGCUUGAAGAAGCGGUUGGCUGGAAGAAGAUAGGUCGAUGAUGAUGUUUGGCUUACAGAGAAAGCCACAGCCAAGCACACUCUUAGACAGAGCUCAUGAUGUACAAUUUUAUUUCAGAGCGUAAGGUACUUGAAGAAAUGAGUUGCUCUUGGAACAUUAGUGGGAACUACCUAGGCUUCAAUGAUGGAAUACAAAGCAAUUGAGAAUGUGCGACAAACCAUUUAUUAUGUAGUUUUUCAUA